Molecule: RNA transcript, 2442 nt
Organism: Sinocyclocheilus grahami
Lineage: Eukaryota; Metazoa; Chordata; Actinopteri; Cypriniformes; Cyprinidae
Gene: synpo2b
Gene name: synaptopodin 2b
Exons: 3
Source: RefSeq, a predicted model, not a curated record
CAGAGUCAGGUGGACUGCAGCUCUUCCAGCACAGGUUCACACUAGAAGCCAGCAGGAACGCUGAAUCCUUGGAAACUGAGGAAGCAAAAAAAAGGCAUAAGAGGAGGAGGAGGAGGAGGGGGAGGCGUGGGACCUCCCGUGUGUCAAGUGCACUUCAAGUCCAGGGUUUUGAGCAAACGGUGGGGCACUGCCUCCUCGACGGGACCCAGCAGACACCAAGACUAAGAUGGAGUGAGGCAGCUGAAAAAAAGCCAACUCUGAAGUGUAAACAUAACAUAAAAAGAAGAGCGAGUUGAUGUUCAAGAAGUGUCUAAAAAAGGUUCACAUGGUACGGAUUCUGGGUGACAGAUUUCAGGACGGACUUCAGAUUGCCACAAAAAAUAGAUUCUGAGAAGAAUACGGCUCCUUCAGUGCUCAGAACCACGGUACUGCUUUGAGCAAAACAGAAUUUCAAAGUACAGACCGAGUCAAACGUGGAAACAAUGGAGCAUCUUCCACAGACUAAAGGAAAGGGAGCCUUAAUGUUUGCCCAGAGGCGUCAAAGGAUGGAUGAGCUUUCCGAGGAGCAAGAGGGAAUGAGACUAAAAGGCUCGCCACUGCAUGCACCUGUUAAGCCUCCUCCGCAGGAACAAAGUACACAAGCCCCUCAAGAUAUCUAUGUAAGGCAACAGCAACCAUUUCAGCAACAGAUGUUACCACAAUCAGCAAACGGUAUGAAUGGCCACCAAGGUUCAGCCGUUCCCAGAUCCCUCGUCUCCAACAGAACUGCGAAGCCCUUCACGGGUGGCCAUAAUCAAGGACAAAAAAGUUUUUCACCAGUCAAAGGCAUCUCAAGCCCUACACCUAAGAAACCUGAAAACAUAUUCAAGGUUCCCGUUCCAGUAAACACAACUCCACAGGUUUGGUCCCCCACCUCAGACAUCAUUGCUUCACGUGAUGAACGUGUCACCAUACCUGCAAUUAAAACAGGGAUCCUGCCAGAAACUAAACGGAGAGGAGCAAACAAGACAGACUCGAAAGAGAUGCCUCCGCUUCAGAAAAAAGGCAAGCAGAAGUCCUUAACAGAGUCUGUUGCAGAAGACGACUUUCUCAGUCUGGGUGCUGAAGCAUGCAAUUUCAUGCAAGCUCCGAGGAUCAAGCAGAAAAACCCUCCACCUGUCCUACCCAAACCUGUCAUCAACCCAGCUUGCCCUCCUUGGUCCGCAGAGCGCUUUCAGAGUCCCCUCGCACCAUCAAGUUCAGUUCCAGCUAUGGGACACACCCAGGUGCAUGCAGUACCCCAACAAAGCCCACCAAACCUCUAUCAAUCAGCCUGGACUCCAGAACCGAGUCAUGCACAACACACACCAGCUUCACUGCGUGCUGGUCAGUCUAAAACAUCGCGGAUUAGCUCACAAAAUGAUGGUAACUCUGUUGCUUCUUGCCCACCUCAACACCUCAACACAUACGUUCAGGCAUCUAAAUCAUUUCCUAAAGGUUAUUCAUCAGAUGCAGGUGCUUCUGAGGGGCUGAACCUUAAAGGAAAAGGAGCUGAACUCUUUGCUCGGAGACAGUCCCGUAUGAACAAAUUUGUGGUGGAUGAUGAGACCGUGCGAGCCAGCAAGGCCAGAUCAUCCUCGCCGACACUUUCAAUGCCAAGCACCUGGAAACACUCUUCUAACGUCCGUUCCCGACCUCCUGUAUCCUACAAUCCUAUUUUGUCUCCUUUUUAUCCCCUUGCGGCGGUCAAACAACCCCCUCCUGCAACUAGUGCAAAGAUGAAGCCUAAAGCAAACAAAGAGAAGACGAAUCCACCACCCAAGCAUCUCAAUGUUCUGGAUGUCAUGAAACAUCAGCCUUACCAGCUGAAUUCCUCGCUUUUCACCUACAACUCCAUUAUAGAGUCUAAGCAGACUUCUGCUCAAACCCCUGCCAGUUUUCAACCCCAGUCCCUUGCUUGUGAGCCAUCGGCAGCGCUCUCUCGCUCCCUAAAUAGUUCGCAGUCAGUUAAGCAAAAUCUGGUAAGUGUGCCUUACCCCUAUGUCCCUCAGUCUGCAUCAAAUGAGGCCACCAUUACUCCACAACAGUCACAUGGCAAACAACUAACCAUGCGCGAUAGCUACAGAAACAAAGGCCUCUCAAACGCCUGCAUGCCUUCUGCAAGCUCUGAAGGCAAUGUCUGUGUAGGGUCCUCUUUACCCGUGAAUAAUGAAUACGCUUCACGGUGUGCAAUACCAGUGGCUCCAAGACCAAAGUUUUCGGCUAAAAAAACAAACACUAGAGGCAAGCAAUGGAAACCAGUCAUUAUGCAGCGUUAACUAAGUUUUAAAGGGAUUAUGGCAUGUUUCUUGGGUAACACUUUAGAUUAGGGAACACAUAUUCACGACUGACUAAGAGUUUCCCCUCAAUAGACGCCUCAUUUGCUGCUUAUUGAUAGUAAGUAGUUGUUAAGUUUAUGUAUGG